RNAcentral lists this ribosomal RNA (500 nucleotides) under uncultured bacterium. Its description in RNAcentral is "bacterial SSU rRNA". It matches the Rfam family "Bacterial small subunit ribosomal RNA", at positions 64 to 553 of the family's 1533-position model. The record is from RNAcentral.
GAGUGCUUGCACUCAAUUGGAAAGAGGAGUGGCGGACGGGUGAGUAACACGUGGGUAACCUACCCAUCAGAGGGGGAUAACACUUGGAAACAGGUGCUAAUACCGCAUAACAGUUUAUGCCGCAUGGCAUAAGAGUGAAAGGCGCUUUCGGGUGUCGCUGAUGGAUGGACCCGCGGUGCAUUAGCUAGUUGGUGAGGUAACGGCUCACCAAGGCCACGAUGCAUAGCCGACCUGAGAGGGUGAUCGGCCACACUGGGACUGAGACACGGCCCAGACUCCUACGGGAGGCAGCAGUAGGGAAUCUUCGGCAAUGGACGAAAGUCUGACCGAGCAACGCCGCGUGAGUGAAGAAGGUUUUCGGAUCGUAAAACUCUGUUGUUAGAGAAGAACAAGGACGUUAGUAACUGAACGUCCCCUGACGGUAUCUAACCAGAAAGCCACGGCUAACUACGUGCCAGCAGCCGCGGUAAUACGUAGGUGGCAAGCGUUGUCCGGAUUUA